This 966-nucleotide unclassified non-coding RNA is filed under the name Hevea brasiliensis (rubber tree). Lineage: Eukaryota; Viridiplantae; Streptophyta; Magnoliopsida; Malpighiales; Euphorbiaceae. The record is from RNAcentral.
GCAAAGGCAUUGGGGGAAAUGGGUAGCCGAGAUUCGUCUCCCUCGCAAUAGGACUCGCCUUUGGCUAGGCACCUUUGACACAGCUGAAGAAGCUGCCUUGGCUUAUGAUCGCGAGGCUUUCAAGUUGAGAGGAGAGAAUGCAAGGCUGAAUUUCCCUGAACUUUUCCUCAAUAAGGAUAAAGAAAUCUCCAUUGUUCCAACUUCUACAGUUUCGUCUCCGCCAACUCCCAAUCAAAGUUCAUCACCAAAACAAACUCAAGAAACCCUUGACUUGCAGGCUUCAAGCAUGGAAAUUAUGCCACCACCACCUCCAGUGCCGGCCCCGUCACAACAGCCUCAAGGAGACAAUCCUGACAAUGAUUCAGGAAUGGGUUCAAGUGGGGCUACAGUGAGUGAUGAGGUUCAGGCGGUAGCAGAGGGAUGCAGUGGAGCAGAAGGCGUUUCCGGGUCUCAAGAAUUGGUAUGGGGAGACAUGGCAGAAGCUUGGUUCAAUGCAAUUCCAGCAGGAUGGGGACCGGGAAGUCCAGUGUGGGAUGAUUUGGACACCACUAAUAAUCUGUUAUUGCAAUCACACAUUCCUUUUGGCAAUCCAAAUCAACAACAGUUUAAUGAUUCUUCUGACUUGCAGAGACAACAGCACAACGUGGAUUCAGCUUCUUCUUCUUCCUCCUCCUCGUCUUUUCCCAUGAAGCCCUUCUUUUGGAAGGAUCAAGACUGAUUGGUCUCAUCUCCAGAAGUGAUUUUUUAAGGAAACCAAACUGUGACUCUUUAACCCUGCCAUAUAUGCUUAGGAGAAUUUCAUCUUCAAGCCCAUCACUUAUCAGGUUGCAGAUUUUUCACAAACAACCUAUGACUUCCCUUGGAGCUUGAUUACUUUUUCCUAUGAGGAUGUCCAAAGCUUCAAAUCCACUUCCUUUUACUGUUUUCUUUGUUUUACAACUCUUUUUCAUUUAGAAGUUUCAUAAU